This 1511-nucleotide ribosomal RNA is filed under the name Salmonella enterica subsp. enterica. RNAcentral describes it as "partial 23S ribosomal RNA". It matches the Rfam family "Bacterial large subunit ribosomal RNA", at positions 114 to 1566 of the family's 2925-position model. Lineage: Bacteria; Pseudomonadati; Pseudomonadota; Gammaproteobacteria; Enterobacterales; Enterobacteriaceae. The record is from RNAcentral.
CCGAAUGGGGAAACCCAGUGUGACUCGUCACACUAUCAUUAACUGAAUCCAUAGGUUAAUGAGGCGAACCGGGGGAACUGAAACAUCUAAGUACCCCGAGGAAAAGAAAUCAACCGAGAUUCCCCCAGUAGCGGCGAGCGAACGGGGAGGAGCCCAGAGCCUGAAUCAGCAUGUGUGUUAGUGGAAGCGUCUGGAAAGGCGCGCGAUACAGGGUGACAGCCCCGUACACAAAAGCGCAUGUGCUGUGAGCUCGAUGAGUAGGGCGGGACACGUGGUAUCCUGUCUGAAUAUGGGGGGACCAUCCUCCAAGGCUAAAUACUCCUGACUGACCGAUAGUGAACCAGUACCGUGAGGGAAAGGCGAAAAGAACCCCGGCGAGGGGAGUGAAAAAGAACCUGAAACCGUGUACGUACAAGCAGUGGGAGCCCCACCACUAAGCCAGUGGUGAACUCCACAUACGCAUCCUUUGCUGAGGAUACGGUUAACGGAGCGAAAGCGACGUUCAACCGCAAAAGAAGCAGAGGGGGCUUAGUGGUGGGGUGACUGCGUACCUUUUGUAUAAUGGGUCAGCGACUUAUAUUCUGUAGCAAGGUUAACCGAAUAGGGGAGCCGGAGGGAAACCGAGUCUUAAUUGGGCGUUAAGUUGCAGGGUAUAGACCCGAAACCCGGUGAUCUAGCCAUGGGCAGGUUGAAGGUUGGGUAACACUAACUGGAGGACCGAACCGACUAAUGUUGAAAAAUUAGCGGAUGACCUGUGGCUGGGGGUGAAAGGCCAAUCAAACCGGGAGAUAGCUGGUUCUCCCCGAAAGCUAUUUAGGUAGCGCCUCGUGAAUUCAUCUCCGGGGGUAGAGCACUGUUUCGGCUAGGGGGCCAUCCCGGCUUACCAACCCGAUGCAAACUGCGAAUACCGGAGAAUGUUAUCACGGGAGACACACGGCGGGUGCUAACGUCCGUCGUGAAGAGGGAAACAACCCAGACCGCCAGCUAAGGUCCCAAAGUCAUGGUUAAGUGGGAAACGAUGUGGGAAGGCCCAGACAGCCAGGAUGUUGGCUUAGAAGCAGCCAUCAUUUAAAGAAAGCGUAAUAGCUCACUGGUCGAGUCGGCCUGCGCGGAAGAUGUAACGGGGCUAAACCAUGCACCGAAGCUGCGGCAGCGACGCUGAUGCGUUGUUGGGUAGGGGAGCGUUCUGUAAGCCUGCGAAGGUGACCUGUGAGGGUUGCUGGAGGUAUCAGAAGUGCGAAUGCUGACAUAAGUAACGAUAAAGCGGGUGAAAAGCCCGCUCGCCGGAAGACCAAGGGUUCCUGUCCAACGUUAAUCGGGGCAGGGUGAGUCGACCCCUAAGGCGAGGCCGAAAGGCGUAGUCGAUGGGAAACGGGUUAAUAUUCCCGUACUUGGUGUUACUGCGAAGGGGGGACGGAGAAGGCUAUGUUGGCCGGGCGACGGUUGUCCCGGUUUAAGCGUGUAGGUGUGUGUUCCAGGUAAAUCCGGUUCACUUUAACACUGAGGCGUGA